CUGAAUGUGCCAUCCAAGCUCCCACAACAGUCGCCUUCCGGGUCUGUGUGUGGCAGUUCCUGGCGUAAAUAUUGAUACCUGAUUUUAACCCUGUACAGUUGUUGCAAACAUCACAUAAUUUUAUCUGUUUUUGUUCCUGUAAAUACACAAAGUUUGUUAUUUUUAACUUGGCGUGUACUGGUUGACACACGCGCACAGUAUAUUUGCGUUAUGGAAUUUCCCACUGCAGAUUAAUCACAUAGAAGAAGUAGAAGUA
Molecule: long non-coding RNA, 256 nt
Filed under: Mytilus galloprovincialis (Mediterranean mussel)
Lineage: Eukaryota; Metazoa; Mollusca; Bivalvia; Mytilida; Mytilidae
Source: RNAcentral